RNAcentral lists this ribosomal RNA (115 nucleotides) under Penicillium sp. FF18. RNAcentral's name for it is "partial 28S ribosomal RNA". It matches the Rfam family "Eukaryotic large subunit ribosomal RNA", at positions 1 to 115 of the family's 3401-position model. Lineage: Eukaryota; Fungi; Ascomycota; Eurotiomycetes; Eurotiales; Aspergillaceae. The record is from RNAcentral.
UUGACCUCGGAUCAGGUAGGGAUACCCGCUGAACUUAAGCAUAUCAAUAAGCGGAGGAAAAGAACCAACAGGGAUUGCCCUAGUAACGGCGAGUGAAGCGGCAAGAGCUCAAAUU